Molecule: long non-coding RNA, 1032 nt
Filed under: Vulpes vulpes (red fox)
Lineage: Eukaryota; Metazoa; Chordata; Mammalia; Carnivora; Canidae
Description: lncRNA (ENSVVUG00000029913.1)
Source: RNAcentral
CCAAAGUGGACCAAGACUAACUUAAAUGGGUAAGGCCAUGUAAUCCACCCACAUGUUCAGUGGGAGAGAAGACCCCGAACAUAUUGGAGGAAAAAACAAAUAAUAUUAUGUAGCUUCCAUCUAGAAUUCAUUUCUCUGCUCCUCAUCAGAAUAUGAUGGAAGCUGGAGAGUCAUGAAGUCGCCCAUGGUCAUUAUCUGCUGCCAUCCAUUACAGAUUCACAGCACCACAAGUACAUAAUUUAUGAAUCUAUACGUGUACAUGUCUUGAAAUGUAUUCUGGAAAGAUCUUACUAAUGGGAUGUGAGAACUACUUCAUAUGGCUCUCCCUGCAGAAAACUGCAGACAACAGAUGCCUGAGAAGAGGAGGAUGUUUACCAUUGGAGGGAAAUGGAAAGUGUUUAUUUUCUGUCUGUUCAGAAGCUCAACAUCAGAUGCACAUCUCAGGGCCCUGGUGCCCUGAACACACACACGCACAUGGACCUUGGGAUUCUGCUUACUGAAAAACUGAAGCAGCUCACAUUCACUCAACAAACACUACCGAAUGCCUCACAAGCUCUUCCAGUUGCCUAGAUUGGUUGAAAAUAGACACCGAGUACCACAUCAGGUAAAGCUCAUAAUGGCACGCACAGUGACCGUGAUUCCUAGCGGGAGACCUUCUCUUGUGGUCUCUUAAGUGUCUGUGUUAUCUUGCAAAUGGAGGCACAGAAUGCCUUUGUUCUGGGUUUUCUUUUCAAGGAUGUUUAUAUAGCUACGGGUUUUGGAAGACAAACACAUUUCCUACAGGAGCAACAGGCCGGCUUGAGCACUGCCCAGUACAAAAGCUUUGAGUUCUCUAAGCUCAAGGUUCUUCUCUGAAGCACAGCUGACCGAGGAUGCAAGUAUGUGGUUUUCUUCACGUUUUGUUGUUGGGAAUUGGGGCUUGAGGAAUGGGUGCAAGUGCUGAUGCUCUGCUUGUGAGCCAUCUCUGUGAUGAUGAACAGCCCUCUGCCUGUAAGUAAUAAAUAGCCCUGGAUCUCUGGCCCUGGAGUCUUG